UCUGUGAUGGCUAUUAUUGGUUGUCAACUUGACUACAUCUGGAAUGAGCUACAAUCCAGAAUGGAGAGCACACCUGUGAGAGACAUGCUUGCUUGGUUUGAAGUGAGUGAAUCCACUUCCGCUCUGGACCUUUGAGGUAGGGAGACACACAGCUUUGCUCCAGCUCUUAGGCGGGAAGACACACAAGCCUUUAAUUCAGAUCUUGAGGAGGGAAGACACAACUUUAGUCUGGGCCACACCUUCUGCUGGAAGCCUUAGAAGGAAAUAGAAGAAGGAAGCUUACACUCUUUGCACACCCGUUUCUUCACUGUCAUUAGAGCCUAAUUCUUUGGGAUCCCACCGUCUACUGAAGACCAGCUGAGACAUCCAGCCUGGUGGACUGAGCAACUACUGGAUUCUUUGACUUUCCAUUCAGUCAACCAUUGUUGAAUUAGCUGGACUUCAGUCUGUGCCAACUCUUCUGAUGAGAAGAAAUGGCUAUAGUGUCUACCUCCAGGAAUACUCAUGGUGGGAAGAAUGUCAUGGACGGCAAAUGGAUCAGAGAGAAGGCCACCUGGGCCACCUUUCAGGGCUACGUUCCGUGUGCCAAAUUUCCUGAGAACGACUUGGAAAUACAGAGCAGUUUUAUGUAGAAAUCCUGUAUAACACUCCUGGUAUAACACUCCACAUAAUUGGAAAAAAUGUAGACUGGACCUCUUGCCCAAGUACAAAAUGCCUUUGGGUCAAAGUAGAAAAAAAAAGCUUUGCCAGCAACCCCCUGCUUCAGCUGCCUAGUUUAGUGGACAUGCUCAGGCAAGCGAGGUCAGCUGAGCCGCUGGAAUCAGAGUGUAUGGAUGUAAAAGUCUUUCCUUUGGCGACUCAUUUUCUUAUCUAAAUUAAAAACCCUUGCUAGUC
Long non-coding RNA from Mesocricetus auratus (golden hamster), 894 nucleotides. RefSeq lists it as uncharacterized. Lineage: Eukaryota; Metazoa; Chordata; Mammalia; Rodentia; Cricetidae. The transcript is spliced from 2 exons. The record is from RefSeq and is a predicted model, not a curated record.